This 433-nucleotide ribosomal RNA is filed under the name uncultured bacterium. Its description in RNAcentral is "partial 16S ribosomal RNA". It matches the Rfam family "Bacterial small subunit ribosomal RNA", at positions 29 to 507 of the family's 1533-position model. The record is from RNAcentral.
AACGAACGCUGGCGGCAGGCCUAACACAUGCAAGUCGAGCGAGGACUUCGGUUCUAGCGGCGGACGGGUGAGCAACGCGUGGGAAUGUGCCCUUCUCUACGGAAUAGCCCUGGGAAACUGGGAGUAAUACCGUAUACGCCCUAUUGGGGAAAGAUUUAUCGGAGAAGGAUCAGCCCGCGUUGGAUUAGGUAGUUGGUGGGGUAAUGGCCUACCAAGCCGACGAUCCAUAGCUGGUUUGAGAGGAUGAUCAGCCACACUGGGACUGAGACACGGCCCAGACUCCUACGGGAGGCAGCAGUGGGGAAUCUUAGACAAUGGGGGCAACCCUGAUCUAGCCAUGCCGCGUGAGUGAUGAAGGCCUUAGGGUUGUAAAGCUCUUUCAGCUGGGAAGAUAAUGACGGUACCAGCAGAAGAAGCCCCGGCUAACUCCGUG